RNAcentral lists this long non-coding RNA (2486 nucleotides) under Helianthus annuus (common sunflower). RNAcentral describes it as "hypothetical non coding rna". Lineage: Eukaryota; Viridiplantae; Streptophyta; Magnoliopsida; Asterales; Asteraceae. The record is from RNAcentral.
GUCCCAACCUUCUUUCCUGCUAUCGCCUCUCUCACUCUAAAAAUAUAUUCUUCACCCAUAAUAAUAAUAAGGUCCUGUCCCAUUUUAAGUGUUUUAACCCUUGAUCACCGAUACCCUGUCCGACUGACGUAGGGCCCCGUAACGUAUGUCAAGGCUCUGCCUAAAUUCGUUGGAGUUCUGUCUCGUGACGUAGGGAUAAAGUGAAAUUGGGUUACUAUACUUGAUGUGGGUACACUACAUAUUUUAUUAAAUAACCCAGAAGUGAUACCCAAAAUAUAACAUUGAAAAUAAUGAAAAACAAUAAAUAUUAAGUUAAGGCGGGCCGCAUAGACCCACCCUAACCUUUAACGCGGGCCGCAAUAAGGUGUAACCGGACUCCGCUGGAAUCUUUAGUUCAUGCGGGCCGCGUAAGAUAUCGUUAAGUUAACGCGGGCCGCGAGAGAUCGAAGUUGUGGCGCAGCCCGGUGAUGACACGUGUCAUCAUCGUGGCGGGUCUAGGGGGUGAGCCGGACAAGCUAGUCCGUUGACCGGGAUUGACGCGGGCCGCAUAAUCCCUGUCCAUUCUUUACGCGGGCCGCGUGGGAACCAGUUUCAGCAACUAUAUAAGGAACGCAGCGGAUUUCAAUUCAGUUCGUUCAUUUCUCAAUUCUCAAAUGACAAUUUCUGUAGUAGGCUUAUUAUACUCGGAUUAUAACCAGGAAGCCACAAAGGAAAUACCUAAAAUAGCAAUGUGAGUAAUCCUCUUUUUAUGUAAACCUUUUUGUGAGUAAUCUCCUUUUUGUUAACAGUUUUUACAAAACCUUAACCUUUUGAUAAUGCAAUUUAGCAGUGAUUGAGUCUUUGUAAUUCUACAAUUACUGCCGGUAUGUUGGGGUUUUGUAUACAAAAUGUGAGUAACGUUACCAUUGGACGAAGAGUUAGCCAAUGGGUAAUAUGACCCUCAGUCAGACUUGACACUACUGAAUGAGUAAUUGGGUAGAUAUAAACAUUGUAAUCGCCCUCAAUACUGUUUAAAGUAAAUUAAUAUUUGUUGAUUAAACUGGGAUUCACUCACCAGUAUUUCUUGCUGAUAAAAUGUUUUUAAAACGCGUUUCAGGUAAUACAAUGUGAAAGCCAAUUAGAAUAAAGCCAGCUCGAGAGCACUUACGGCUUGGAAAAAUGUGGCUAUAAAAGUUACCUAAAAGACGAUGUUUUAAAUUCAAUAAAAUAAGGGUUAUCCCUAUAAACAUGUUGUAAUAAGAAUCUUGGGUUUUACCCAUGUGAUUAUAAAAAUAAAAUAUGGUGGUUUUACUCUGAUAAAAUAUUUCCUAACUAUGGUCCUGAUGAAAUUUCCGCUGCCAAAAUAAUUAAACAUACGGAUACCACCGACACUGGCUCGCGGCCGCCCGUUCCCGGGAAUUAGGAUCGGGGGUUGUGACAGAAGGUGGUAUCAGAGCCUAGCCACUGGUUCAAGCCAAAGAAGUGUUCUGCUGACACUUAAAUUUUAAUUCUGUGUUAGGAAAUAACUUAUGUGAUUAUGUGUUUUAUAUUAUUUGACUGUUUGUUAGUCUACAGUGAUUAAAUUUUUGGUAUUCUGCAAUAGCUACCGGUAUGGGGAUUUUAUACAUUACUUGAUACCCGCUACUAUUGGCCAAAGAGUUAGUCAAUAGUGGCACAAAUAUGAUUUAGUGGAGGCAUGAACAUUCAAUGCUAUAUAUUAGUAAUAAUAUAUCUAAACCUUUAUAUAUGGCCUUGUUAUUUAAAAUAGUAUUAUAUUAAAUGUUUAAUUAUGGUUUAAAUAUUAUGGUUCCAAAUAUUAUAGUUAAUAUUUAAUAUAGUACAUUAUAACUAGCUAAUCGCAUGCUUAAUAACCGAGCACUCUUUAAUCCAACUUCCUACUUUAGUGAAAUGUCAAUUAUAUUGUGAUUUAUUAAUUAAAUAAAUAUGAACUAAAACAAAUUAAUGAUAUUGCGUAGUGGAUCUCUAAGUUCCAACCAACAGGUACCACCUUUGCAAAUUGCAAUUGUAUGGACCGUGAUACCAUAUGGAAGCUAGACUAAUUAAUUCACAUCAAUAAUUUGUGAAAACUAUAAGUGUUAUAAAAUUGCGAUUAAUGGUAUAAUAUAAGUUGCUACAAAUAUAUUAUUUAACGCUUUUCAGUAUAAAUAGUUAAUAAGGACAUGCUAUAAAGUGUAUUUUGUAGUGUGUUAAAUUUGUAGUAAUUAAUAGUUAAAAGCUAAAAUUAUUAAAAAUAUUAAAUAAAUUUGAAGAUUACUUAGAUUGUGUAGUAUAAUUAGUUAAUUAAUAUAUUAUAUGUGAUAAAGUUAUAGCUAUUAAAUUUACAGAAAAUGAUAUAUUAUGGGCUAAUUGGUUUUGUGCCAUAGAAAAUAUAUUUGACAAAGUAAUGUCACGGGACACAACUAAGUUCAGAGUCACUAGUUGAGAGAAUGAUCAACAGUGAUAUGACCACAAUUACUAGUUGAGAGAAUGAUCAACAGUGAUUUGAC